This 465-nucleotide ribosomal RNA is filed under the name Vreelandella stevensii. RNAcentral's name for it is "partial 16S ribosomal RNA". It matches the Rfam family "Bacterial small subunit ribosomal RNA", at positions 338 to 795 of the family's 1533-position model. The record is from RNAcentral. Lineage: Bacteria; Pseudomonadati; Pseudomonadota; Gammaproteobacteria; Oceanospirillales; Halomonadaceae.
CCUACGGGCGGCUGCAGUGGGGAAUAUUGGACAAUGGGCGAAAGCCUGAUCCAGCCAUGCCGCGUGUGUGAAGAAGGCCUUCGGGUUGUAAAGCACUUUCAGUGGGGAAGAAAGCCUUGGGGCUAAUACCCUCGAGGAAGGACAUCACCCACAGAAGAAGCACCGGCUAACUCCGUGCCAGCAGCCGCGGUAAUACGGAGGGUGCGAGCGUUAAUCGGAAUUACUGGGCGUAAAGUGCGCGUAGGCGGUCUGAUAAGCCGGUUGUGAAAGCCCCGGGCUCAACCUGGGAACGGCAUCCGGAACUGUCAGGCUAGAGUGCAGGAGAGGAAGGUAGAAUUCCCGGUGUAGCGGUGAAAUGCGUAGAGAUCGGGAGGAAUACCAGUGGCGAAGGCGGCCUUCUGGACUGACACUGACGCUGAGGUGCGAAAGCGUGGGUAGCAAACAGGAUUAGAUACCCCAGUAGUC